AGAUUGAUGAGAAUGUUAAGAGGGAAACCAUAAAUCACAGAUCCUUGAGGCAUCCAAAUAUUGUCAGGUUCAAAGAGGUCUUGUUGACUCCAAGUCAUUUAGCUACUGUCAUGUAAUAUGCAGCUGGUGGUGAGCUAUUUGAGAGGAUAUAUAGUACUGGUAGAUUUAGUGAAGCAGAGGUUAGUUCCUCGGUUUACAUGUUAGAUAAAAUCAUGACUUCCAUGUCAGCUAUUCUGAGAAUUCUUUUUGUAUCAUCCAAAACAAUGCAAAGCUGUCAGAUUUUGGCUUGGCCAAGGAUGGGCCAACAGGUGAUAAAAGCCAUGUCUCUACUAGGGUGAUGGACACAUAUAGAUAUGCAGCCCCAAAAUAUCUAGCCACAGUGGGCAGCAAAGACUCGGAAAGUAUACACCCAAGAGGAACUUGACUAGGUCCGCAUUGAAGUAGCUGACUAUUUGCAGACUUUGCUAUAGAUGCUGACUCUACCAAAGUGAUUUUGAGUACGGCUAGCUAGAUUUUGUAGAAUCAUUUUGAAGUGGAACGUUGUACAGUUGCCGGUGAACUAAACUGCAUAUAGUUAUUGCAAUUGUCUGUUUUGGGCUAGCCAUGAUGUAGGUUGGGGUUUUUUGCCUAUUUUUGGAACUAUUAACAGGCUUAU
Molecule: long non-coding RNA, 655 nt
Organism: Rosa rugosa (rugosa rose)
Lineage: Eukaryota; Viridiplantae; Streptophyta; Magnoliopsida; Rosales; Rosaceae
Exons: 3
Source: RefSeq, a predicted model, not a curated record